This 107-nucleotide small nucleolar RNA is filed under the name Gossypium hirsutum (cotton). RNAcentral's name for it is "Plant small nucleolar RNA R71". It matches the Rfam family "Plant small nucleolar RNA R71". Rfam says of the family: R71 is a member of the C/D box family of snoRNAs containing the C (UGAUGA) and D (CUGA) box motifs. Multiple nearly identical copies of this snoRNA have been identified in Arabidopsis, and it is thought to function as a 2'-O-ribose methylation guide for 18S ribosomal RNA. The record is from Rfam by way of RNAcentral. Lineage: Eukaryota; Viridiplantae; Streptophyta; Magnoliopsida; Malvales; Malvaceae.
AUCCCAUAAUGAGGACACUUACGAAGUAACUCCUUGAAUCGCUCCCAAGCCUCAUACAAAGACUCGUCAUCCAAUUGUUGGAAAGUUAUCAUCUCGUUCCUCAACCU